This is a regulatory RNA element of 106 nucleotides. It matches the Rfam family "TPP riboswitch aptamer (THI element)". From Rfam's summary of the family: Vitamin B(1) in its active form thiamin pyrophosphate (TPP) is an essential coenzyme that is synthesised by coupling of pyrimidine and thiazole moieties in bacteria. The previously detected thiamin-regulatory element, thi box was extended, resulting in a new, highly conserved RNA secondary structure, the THI element, which is widely distributed in eubacteria and also occurs in some archaea. Analysis of operon structures identified a large number of new candidate thiamin-regulated genes, mostly transporters, in various prokaryotic organisms. The record is from Rfam.
AAUAGAAUACCGGGGUGCUGAGAAAAUCGGCUGAGAGCAGGCUGAAGCCUGAAACCCUUAACUUGAUCCGGGUAAUGCCGGCGUAAGGAAUCAAAAGCAAAAAGGA